This 251-nucleotide ribosomal RNA is filed under the name uncultured prokaryote. RNAcentral describes it as "partial 16S rRNA". It matches the Rfam family "Bacterial small subunit ribosomal RNA", at positions 525 to 775 of the family's 1533-position model. The record is from RNAcentral.
ACGUAUGUCGCAAGCGUUAUCCGGAAUUAUUGGGCGUAAAGGGCAUCUAGGCGGUCAAUCAAGUCGAAGGUGAAAACUUGUGGCUCAACCAUAAGCUUGCCUACGAAACUGAUUAACUAGAGUACUGGAGAGGUGGACGGAACUACACGAGUAUAGGUGGAAUUCGUAGAUCUGUGGAGGAAUGCCGAUGAUGAAGAUAGUAAACUGGACAGAAACUGACGCUGAAGUGCGAAAUCUAGUGGUGCUAACAG